GACCAGCUGAGGUCAUGUGCAGAAUCCAGCUCUGCCCGGCACACCAACCAGGCUGCCGUCCCCAGGCCGUGCGGUUUCCCGCUCUGCUCCCGCUGAUCCUCACAGCCCUGCAGCCCGCAGCCGUCCCCACAGAGCCGCCGCCGCCCUGCCCGUGGGAGAUGAACAAGGUGAAGGACAUCGUGGAGGUGAACUGCACCGGGCGGGAUCUCGGUGCGGUGCCCGCCAGCCUGCCCGAG
Molecule: long non-coding RNA, 236 nt
Filed under: Gallus gallus (chicken)
Lineage: Eukaryota; Metazoa; Chordata; Aves; Galliformes; Phasianidae
Description: long non-coding RNA NONGGAT005583
Source: RNAcentral